GUAGGGAAUAUUGCGCAAUGGGGGAAACCCUGACGCAGCAACGCCGCGUGAGUGAGGAAGGUCUUCGGAUUGUAAAACUCUUUUAUUAGGGAAAAAUGUCUAGGUGGCUAAUAUCCACUUAGAGUGAUGGUACCUAAGGAAUAAGCACCGGCUAACUUCGUGCCAGCAGCCGCGGUAAUACGAAGGGUGCAAGCGUUGUUCGGAAUCAUUGGGCGUAAAGCGGGCGCAGGCGGGUCAGUAAGUCAGGUGUGAAAUCUCGGAGCUCAACUCCGAAACUGCGCCUGAAACUAUUGGUCUAGAGUAUCGGAGGGGACAGGGGAAUUUCACGUGUAGGGGUAAAAUCCGUAGAGAUGUGAAGGAACACCGGAGGCGAAGGCGCCUGUCUGGACGAUUACUGACGCUGAGGCGCGAAAGCGUGGGGAGCAAACAGGAUUAGAAACCCUAGUAGUCC
RNAcentral lists this ribosomal RNA (451 nucleotides) under uncultured bacterium. Its description in RNAcentral is "partial 16S ribosomal RNA". It matches the Rfam family "Bacterial small subunit ribosomal RNA", at positions 354 to 796 of the family's 1533-position model. The record is from RNAcentral.